CGUAUAAGGUUUCGUAAACUUCACAAUAAUUAAAGUGCCAACAAUAAAGUAAAAAGUUACGCGCAUUAAAGUUUAGCACGUGUAUUAUACUUAAAAAGAUAUAUAAGUUUUUUAGUAACUACCAGGCCAGCUGUUUAACAGAAAGUAAAUCAAUUCAGUGAAAGUGUAAAAGAAUAUUGUUUCGUCGCUUUCAAAACGAUAAAAUGUAAAAAUAACUUUGAAAUGUCCAAAGAAGGUUAUAACACCGAAAAGAAAGAGAGUGAUAGUAAAGUGGUUUUAGAACGUUUACAGUCAUAUUUAAAAGAUAAAAGAAGUAGUGAAUCAUCUGAAACUAGUGUAAUAUAUAAUAAGCCGAGCUCAGGUUUAGUAUAUGAGCCAAAUCCCAUAAUAGUUCCGAGCAUCGAAGAAACUGGUAAUAGUAACGUACUUCGAGAAGUAUUAAAUCAUAAGAAAUCAGAGUUGCUAAGGCAGCCUGAGGUAAUCGCAUUUUUGAAAACUUUAUCAACAGAUUUAAAGAAGUAAUUAGCGAUGGCAGUGGCUGCUCGAAAAAGCGCUGAGUUUCUUAUGCGAAAAACCUUAGAUAGACAGGCUGCGCUUAGUCGGAUGAAAGUUAGUUUUAAAAAGAAACAAAUAACUCAAGUAAUAGUUGACUAUGUUCAGGAGGGAAAAUAUGGACCUUACAAUGAGUUAAUAAAUAUCCUCAAAGAUAAGCAAAUAUCUGAUGGAAACUUCCUAGUGUUGUUUGAAGAUUGUUUAUCAUGUACAGUUUAUUUUGAAAAAGAUUGGAAGAUAUUUAUUGAUCUACUAUGUGAUAUUCAAUGGGUAAACAGAGACCCAGAACUAGUAAAAGUGUAUAGUAAAUUUAUAGUUAGUUUAGUAACAGCACACACUUACCAUUGUCCAAAAGUUAUGACAGCAUUAGUCAAUUUAUUCAAAGUUGAAGGUGAGAAUUGGGAUGACUAUCCACCUGAAGAGCUGAAUAAACAAUGGGCUAAUAUACAUUCACUAAUAGCACAAAUAGUUGCUUUUAUGCCAAUGACAAGCAAUAUCUUAAUGCAAACAGUAAUGGAUAAUUUCCCAUACUUUAAAGCUGGUUGCUACCUUAACAGAGCCUAUGUACACAAUUUAAUAUGGAUAAGUAGAUAUAUUCCUUCGCUGAAGGAACAAAUUAUGUCUGCUAUAGUACACAGAAUGAUAGAAAUGGAUGUAAAUGUGGUAGACCAAAAGACUAAGCAAGAAACAAUCUUUAAUAUGGAGUUAGAAAAAGACGAGACUAGUGUUACACUAGACUACUGUAUGUUGGAAAUGCUAAAGUGGCUAGAAGAUGAAAGAGAACCUGUAUUAUUAAUACUGUGUAAUGUAUUUGAAAGGGUUAUGCUUCCUACUUAUGGCAUUCGAUAUGUCCAAUUCCUAUUAUUAUAUGCUAUAUCAAUAAAUCAGCAAUGUGCUGAUAGGAUAUUUAAUAAUUUGUGGACAAUAACAGCUGGUCUCCACGGAUUAGGGCCUGGUGCCCUAACCACACGUAAGACUGCUGCCAGUCACUUAGCAGGUCUUCUUGCAAGAUGUGUAAGAAUUCCUAAUAGUAGACUAAUACACUAUUUGAAGACUAUGGCAGAUUGGUGUCACGGGUACAUAACAGCAACGCAAGAGACCUCUGCUCACGAUAAUACUAAAGUACAUGGUGCCUUCCAUGCAGUCUGCCACGCGAUAUUUUAUCUUGUUGCCUUCAAGAACCAUCACCUAUUUAUGAGUAAAGAAUGUUUAAAUUUCGUUGAGUCCCUGAACCUUCCCCGUCUAGUGACCUGUCCUUUAAACCCUCUGCGAACAUGUCCUCCUCAAGUGACCCAGGCUUUUGCAUCAGUCACCAGAUCUCACCAGGUGGUCUACUGCCAGUCUAUAAUUGAGAAGAACCUUCGGUUCUCCUUACAUAAUGCUGUGCAAUAUGAUGAGUGGUUCCCAUAUGAUCCAUACACUUUACCAAUAUCAGGUAAAAAGAUAUGGCCCCUAUGCGUUGAAUAUAAGGACUGGUUGAAAAGAGGUGACGACGAAACGCAGUACAAGAGUUUAAAACGCAAAUUUGACGGCGAAGACGACGAUUUCCUACAAAUAUCUCCCAGCCCCCGGCAAAGACUGCCUAGCUCCUUAACAAAUUGUAUAUCACCAGGGUUCAAAAGCAGUGACACUAGUAUGAUGUAAAUAAUUUUUAACUAGAUCUCUAUGCUAAGCUCGUAAAUCUAUCAUAAAAUAAUGUAAUAUGUAAACUUUAUACAUGUAUUAUCAAACUAGCUUCUCGCAUUGGGGGUGUCCUUGGGCAGCAGUAACAAUAACCAUUAGGUUAGCCUGCCUGCCUUUAAAAAUAUACAUAAAAACUAAUACAAGUUUUCAAUGUGAAGGGACAAAGGGCUUUAAAUCUUAUUUAUUUGUAUUAAAAGGUUCUUUCCGAGAUUUCCUUUUAAAGUUAUAUUAUCAUUUAUAGGAUGUUUGAAGUGCAUUCAAUAAAUUUUUAUAGUAAUAAAAUAUUAAU
This is an RNA transcript of Pieris rapae (cabbage white), 2524 nucleotides long. It is a transcript of the gene named RNA polymerase I-specific transcription initiation factor RRN3, with no coding region annotated. NCBI's taxonomy places the organism in Eukaryota, Metazoa, Arthropoda, Insecta, Lepidoptera, Pieridae. The record is from RefSeq and is a predicted model, not a curated record. The transcript is spliced from 9 exons.